CCUACGGGUGGCAACAGUGAGGAAUAUUGGUCAAUGGGCGCGAGCCUGAACCAGCCAAGUCGCGUGAGGGAAGACGGUCCUAUGGAUUGUAAACCUCUUUUGUCGGGGAGCAAAAGACGCCACGCGUGGCGUUCCGAGAGUACCCGAAGAAAAAGCAUCGGCUAACUCCGUGCCAGCAGCCGCGGUAAUACUGAGGAUGCGAGUGUUCUCCGGAUUUAUUGGGGUUAAAGGGUGCGCAGGCGGAGGAUCAAGUCAGCGGUAAAAUUGGGAGGCUCAACCUCUUCGAGCCGUUUGAACUGGUUUUCUUGAGUGAGCGAGAGGUAUGCGGAAUGCGUGGUGUAGCGGUGAAAUGCAUAGAUAUCACGCAGAACUCCGAUUGCGAAGGCAGCAUACCGGCGCUCAACUGACGCUGAUGCACGAAAGUGUGGGUAUCGAACAGGAUUAGAUACCCUAGUAGUC
RNAcentral lists this ribosomal RNA (459 nucleotides) under uncultured bacterium. RNAcentral describes it as "partial 16S ribosomal RNA". It matches the Rfam family "Bacterial small subunit ribosomal RNA", at positions 338 to 795 of the family's 1533-position model. The record is from RNAcentral.